GUGAGGAAUAUUGGUCAAUGGUCGCAAGACUGAACCAGCCAUGCCGCGUGCAGGAAGACGGUCCUAUGGAUUGUAAACUGCUUUUAUACAGGAAGAAACCCUCCCACGUGUGGGAGCUUGACGGUACUGUAGGAAUAAGGAUCGGCUAACUCCGUGCCAGCAGCCGCGGUGAUACGGAGGAUCCAAGCGUUAUCCGGAAUCAUUGGGUUUAAAGGGUCCGUAGGCGGUCUUAUAAGUCAGUGGUGAAAGCCCAUCGCUCAACGAUGGAACUGCCAUUGAUACUGUAGGACUUGAAUGCUUAGGAAGUAACUAGAAUAUGUAGUGUAGCGGUGAAAUGCUUAGAUAUUACAUGGAAUACCAAUUGCGAAGGCAGGUUACUACUAAGUGAUUGACGCUGAUGGACGAAAGCGUGGGGAGCGAACAGGAUUAGAAACCCUGGUAGUCC
Molecule: ribosomal RNA, 445 nt
Filed under: uncultured bacterium
Lineage: Bacteria
Description: bacterial SSU rRNA
Rfam family: Bacterial small subunit ribosomal RNA
Source: RNAcentral